Molecule: ribosomal RNA, 385 nt
Filed under: uncultured bacterium
Lineage: Bacteria
Description: bacterial SSU rRNA
Rfam family: Bacterial small subunit ribosomal RNA
Source: RNAcentral
AUUGAACGCUGGCGGCAUGCUUUACACAUGCAAGUCGAACGGCAGCACGGGGGCAACCCUGGUGGCGAGUGGCGAACGGGUGAGUAAUAUAUCGGAACGUACCCGGAAAUGGGGGAUAACGUAGCGAAAGUUACGCUAAUACCGCAUAUGCCCUAAGGGGGAAAGCGGGGGAUUCGCAAGAACCUCGCGUUUUCGGAGCGGCCGAUAUCGGAUUAGCUAGUAGGUGAGGUAAAGGCUCACCUAGGCGACGAUCCGUAGCUGGUCUGAGAGGACGACCAGCCACACUGGAACUGAGACACGGUCCAGACUCCUACGGGAGGCAGCAGUGGGGAAUUUUGGACAAUGGGCGGCAAGCCUGAUCCAGCCAUGCCGCGUGAGUGAAGAA